GUGAGUAACACGUGGAUAACCUACCUAUAAGACUGGGAUAACUUCGGGAAACCGGAGCUAAUACCGGAUAAUAUUUUGAACCGCAUGGUUCAAAAGUGAAAGACGGUCUUGCUGUCACUUAUAGAUGGAUCCGCGCUGCAUUAGCCAGUUGGUAAGGUAACGGAUUACCAAGGCAACGAUGCAUAGCCGACCUGAGAGGGUGAUCGGCCACACUGGAACUGAGACACGGUCCAG
RNAcentral lists this ribosomal RNA (234 nucleotides) under uncultured Staphylococcus sp. RNAcentral describes it as "partial 16S ribosomal RNA". It matches the Rfam family "Bacterial small subunit ribosomal RNA", at positions 106 to 334 of the family's 1533-position model. The record is from RNAcentral. Lineage: Bacteria; Bacillati; Bacillota; Bacilli; Caryophanales; Staphylococcaceae.